GUGUGUCACGGAAUUGCAAAGGAAAUGUCAGGAAGCGUCUAAACAUCACAGGUUGCAGCAGCUGGUUGGUUCAUAUGUGACCAUUAGCGUGACGUCAUUUGGGUAUAAAAUGGAUUGUGCCUGAUGUAAUGUGACGUGACAUACGAUGACUCAACGAUCUGGCAGGCGUGGCGCACACAACCUGAAGCUAACGACUGUCAACGCCAAGGGGCUGAAUAACCCAGGGCCGAGAGAUGGUCCACUGAG
This is a long non-coding RNA of Bombina bombina (fire-bellied toad), 246 nucleotides long. RefSeq lists it as uncharacterized. The transcript is spliced from 3 exons. NCBI's taxonomy places the organism in Eukaryota, Metazoa, Chordata, Amphibia, Anura, Bombinatoridae. The record is from RefSeq and is a predicted model, not a curated record.